GACCAAUGAACAAUCGCGAAAUUUCCGGAACUGUUGAUAUAAACUAAUAUUUCAUUGGUUUAAAGCCAAUUGACGUCAAUGCAAAUUAGUCUGAGGGGCAAAGUCACGCGAAGCCUCGUUUUGAUAUUGCUAUUUGGGGUAUAAAAUGACGUCAUUUUAUGGGCCAACGUACUCCACGAGGUUGGUCAGCGUGAAAACGCAUGAGACGCGUGCGAUUAAUUUUCAAGAUGGCGGACAAAGGAGAACAGUUCACUAAAGCGGAGAAAAAGCAAAUGGAGAUGCUUAACGAACGGUUUACCCUGCGUCAAAAGUACAUGGCAAAGAUCAAAAGAAGAAACCUAGCUGCAUUUGCUUGUCUCUUAGCCUCAGUUGGGGGAAUUUAUGGAUAUACACUAGUUGCAACAAGACAAGAAAAGUUAGACUUUGAUGAAUAACCAUCACAAGUGUUUUAACAUCAUCAUGCCAAUUCCUUUUAGCAAGGAGACAUGACAACACAAGAUGUUAUGAGUGACUUAAACUUGCCAAAAAACUGAGGACACUUGCAAAGAAAGAUGAAAGGAGGAUUACGAGAAAAAUGUUCAUAUGGCUGCAGCUGAUGGACCAGCAUGUUUACUGCGUGAGAAAAAAAAAAAAAAUUGAAAAUAAAGAAAUAAAAAUACUGCCACUUUUCUGUUCCAGCCUGAUCAGCACUGUGUUCUCUUAAAGUGGGUCACCAGGGAAUAAUCUUGAUUGAGUCCAAAAUUCUUCUUACCAGAUUUAAAGAAAGAGUGUAGAUACCAGUAAAGAGAAUUUAUCUUGACUUCUUGGCAUAAAGGACUAAGAUGGGUUUUAAAGUGAGCCUUUUAAUUUGUAAACAGUAAGAUGAUCUCAAAAAAAAAAAAAACUUGGAGGAUGAUAGUGGAAAAGUGUUGGAAAUGGAAACAGCUCAAUAAACUGCAUAAAGUCCAA
This is a long non-coding RNA of Orbicella faveolata, 948 nucleotides long. RefSeq lists it as uncharacterized. Lineage: Eukaryota; Metazoa; Cnidaria; Anthozoa; Scleractinia; Merulinidae. The record is from RefSeq and is a predicted model, not a curated record.